This 636-nucleotide long non-coding RNA is filed under the name Zostera marina. Its description in RNAcentral is "long non-coding RNA (ZMAR_LNC001506)". The record is from RNAcentral. Lineage: Eukaryota; Viridiplantae; Streptophyta; Magnoliopsida; Alismatales; Zosteraceae.
GAAACUUGGAAUCUAUAGUAUGACCGUGUGGAGCAGGUGAGUGGUGCCUGGAGUAAAGUUAAUCGGGUUAUUGGUUUCAAUUGGCGCUUCUAUGUGCGAUCUUGAAUCGUAGCCCUCCACCUAAUCGCAAUUAAUUAUAGCCGUUGAAGAGAAACUCGUCCUUUGGAGCUCUGUUUCUGACAGGCGUGGAAGGGACUGACAGGCGAUUGUACACUAUUCCCUCGAUUGUACAGAGUACACUGGAGUGACCGGGGGACGGUUGUGUGGAGAGGUAUUCUAAAUGUCAUGUAGUUCUAAUUUCUAACCCUAGCUCCUCACAUUUUCUGAUAAUCUCUCUUUGCGUUCUACUCGGCGGCGCGUUUUUCCUCUUCCAUUUCUCUCCUGAUCAGCGAAAAAGUUUUCUUCCUCAACUCCAUCAUGUCGAACGCUAGUGGUGAUAGGAAAGGGAAGGCACCGGCGAGGUCUCCACUCUCCAAGAUAAGGUGAGUAUCCUAUUCUUAAGUCUUGCUUUGCUAUUCUAUUUCUCUUCCUUUCCACUCCCAUUCGAUUUUUUUUUUAAAUCUUAUCAUUGUAUUCUUGCUUGACCUUCAUCGUUUUAUUUCCAUAUAGUAAUAGCCAGUUAUUUCCUAUUAUAUC